Sciurus carolinensis (gray squirrel) is the source of this 9364-nucleotide long non-coding RNA. RefSeq lists it as uncharacterized. The record is from RefSeq and is a predicted model, not a curated record. The transcript is spliced from 3 exons. NCBI's taxonomy places the organism in Eukaryota, Metazoa, Chordata, Mammalia, Rodentia, Sciuridae.
CCCCAAAGGACGCUCGUCUCUACACUUCCCUACACUCCAUGCCUUCCUUAGUCACGGGCCGUCUCGGGGUGCAGUCGAUUGGCUGCCAGGCUGCGGCACAGGACUGGGUGGAGAUGCUCCUCGGGAAGCCCAGAACUUUUCCCUCUAACUGGGACCUGCCAACUCCCAACUCCCCUCUGCCACCUUCUUCCCUGUACUGAAAAUGCCUCUCUGGACCAAGCGACUGCCUUUUUCCUCUCCAGUUACUAACAAGAGGACUUGGGCCCAAGGCGUGCAGGAAGCUGGGAGCUUCGCCACAAAGGCUGUGGGGUCAGGAGGAGGCAGACGAGGCUGGAGGAGCCGGGAAAACCCAUGCCUGGUGUCCCCCGGGGGCACUUCCAGACGUGCAGUCAGAUGAGGACACCCAAAGAAGACCCAGCAGGAGAGCGGGGAAGUGGCUCAGCCACACCAGGGAUGAGAGGAGCUGAUGGCUUCACCCACUGGCUCAGGUGAUCCGCAGACAGGGUGGGGAGCAAAGGAACCAAGAGCCAGCCUUCCUGCGGGCGGCAGGAGUCGGGCAGGUAUCAGGGGCUGGGAUUCUGCCAGAGCGAGUCUCAGGGUAAAUGGGAGCUCCAGGCAGGAGGGACGCAAUCUCGAGAGGCGGGGACACAGAAUUGGAGAGCUGGCAAAGUAUGAUUCAGGAGAGGGCCAUGGCAGGCCGUCCUACUGUCUCUAAGGGCUCCAGCCCACUAGGGGAGGGUUGUGCUUCCCUGUCCCCUUGCCACCAGGCCCACCUGCCCCAGGGAUGAGAGCAGAAGUGACACAUGUCCCUUCCCUGAGAGAAAAGGUUCAGAUGGAGGCAGCACCCUCAGCCUGGGUCCUGGACAGCAAGUCACGCAGCCCCCAGGACAGGCAGCUAGUGUGAGCACCAGGACAGCAUUAGGGGGUUUGUGGGACUGGAUACUGCGCAUGCCCACGCUAACCUCACGGAUACAGAGCGGGAAUGAUAGAGAAAUGGACGAAGGGAGCCGAGCUGGGCAACCAGAUGGUCCAGGAGGGCAGCACCAGGUGUGAGAGACGGUGCUGGGUCCUUGAGCAAGAAAACAAGACCAAAGCUGGAGAGACGGCUGUGCGGGUCUGCGACACACACCCUGCGGUUGCGCGAGGGUGGUUCAAAGGGCAGCUUCCUGCAGGCGCCAUGGUGCAUGUCGCUGACUGAGUGAAAUCGAGGGGAGUUGCGCAGGAUAAAGACAAGUGCCUGAGAUUCCAGGUUACUGGGGGAUGCCAUCCAAGCCUGUGCCGCCGUGUCUGAGGAGGGUCACGGCUACUGGGGUGGGACAGAGGCUGCGAUUUCCUAAUGGAGGAGAGGGGAAGAGGUGGGAAGAGCUGCAAGCAAAGAGGAGGCAGCAGUGUCCAGGGCAGGAGGGGGCAGCCGGGGGUGGCGCCAGGGAGCUAAGACAGUGCAGGCUAGCAGGGGUCCAACCAAAGGUCCUCACGGGGCGGAGACAGACAGCAUUGCCAGAGCAGAAUCCCGCUUCCAACGAGAGGGAGAAUCACUUCAAAAAUGUACCAGAGCCCCGAGGGAGUCUGCUGGCCGCAGCUUGUCACAGGUCCGUGUCUCAGGAACGGUUCUGCCUUGCACCUACUUAUUUAAACCAGACUCCUGCAGCCAAGAAGGCGCAUCCCCCUUCUCCAGCCUCAUGGCGUCGACCACCGAGUCCUCUCCGCCUGUCUCUUCACCUCCUCAGCCCCCUGCGCUGUCUCCACAGCCCUGAGUAGAGCUCAUCAUCUCUCCUCGUCCCUCCUCUCAACUGCUUGCAGCCUCCCUCUCCCCUGGACAGAGCCUAGUCGUCCAUCAGCAGGGAGCACAGUGGCUGGCCUUGCUGCUCUGACUUGGUCAGGACCCUGCCCGCCUCAGUGUGCAGUCAAGGUCCCGCCUCCCCGUGUCCUAAGCUCAGGAUGAUGAGCGGGGCCCGUAUUCCUGGGCUCAGACCAGCCUCCUCUCCACCCUUCCAGGAAGGGCCAGCAAUAGCAAAGUUCCCACCUCUGCACACCCCUCUCUGGAUACGUGAGGCCUUUGCAGGGGCUCAGGGGCUCACCGAGCGGAGAUGGCUGGUCCUUGGAGGCGGCACUGUAGAGUUGCUGGUGGGUUCCCACUGCGCGGACUCACUCCACCAGGGAGAAAUCUCACUUACCUGCACCACAGGCUCUAAAUGCUGCCUAAGAGCAAGGGCCAAGCUUUCUGAUCUUCCUCCCCGGGGCCUUCGCAAGCCAGCUCACAGAGUGCCUCUGGGGUCUGCAAGCAUUAUUGAAGCCUCUGUCGCCUGCACUGAAGUCAUUGUCUAUACCUGUUCCCCCACUAGACCUGAGAGAGACCGCCGUGCUCUUCUUGCGGAGUUGAGCACAGUGACCCCACACCGCACAUGGUGCUGUUUGCUAACCACAGAUAGUUACUGCCAGUUCAUGCCCCAAGAGCCCCUUGCAAGUCCACGACAUUAAGACUCACGUGUCCACCUGUUUAAGCAUGAAGAUUCUUAGUCUGCUUGGAGCUUAUAGUUACCAGAUAUGAUGAUGACCAGAGCCAAAUCCCCACAACCCCUGUGAGAAGAGGCACCAGCCGGCAUUGUUACUUCUGGAAGCUUCUUUCUCAAACUGGUCAUUUAUGAAAACGUCUCUGGCACUUGGGUCAUAUCACAGCUUGGUCUCUCCUUUCCUUCCUUGUUGGCUCUAAAGCCAUUGGCAUGCACAGGACACUCAUCUGCGCUGGGUGAGGCACUCUAUUUUGUGUAAAAACAGUCUUGUUCAACCCAACUAGACCUUUAAACAACUUUGGCAAUCUCAUACUCAGGCACGAGUGUACAAUAAACCCUAGACCUUGUCAUUUGUUUGGUCUUUCUAUUCAGCCCACAUUCAAUCAAGGUCAAGGGGAAUCCAUUCCAAGACCAAGUCUGCAAACCUUUACACAAUCACAUACAGCAGAUCGAACAGAAAUGUGUACUUGGAAAUGAAUUUUAACCUUUUAUCUCUAAACUGCAGAUUGCAAACCAGGGACCCGAAUGCCAGCUUUGCCUAGAAGACAUUUAUUUUGCAAUAGCGCACUAAAAUCGUUGAACUCGAUGCCUUUAAGAUGGACGCUUCUUCCUUCUUUGCCUCAGGCCCCAGCUGCCCAGUUUGCUCAUCCCUCCCCGGCCCUGCUCGCCCACGAGUGCUCAGCUCUUGAAGCCUUUUGAGCCUGUGGCUCCACCUAGACCAAGUGUUCUUGUGAGCUCCCAGAGGACCCCAGGGAUGGAGCCUGGGUGGUCCCUGAGACUAGCAGAGUGGCUGUCUGACUGCGGAGACAUUUCCUUGCAAACACAUUUCCGUCUCACUUUGCCCACUUUGGAAUUCUUGGCCCCGGGAUCCCAAGGAUGAGGAGGUUCACGGUCAGGGAGGUACCAGGAGGGGCACCCGAGAAGGCCCAUGCUGGUGCCACUUCUCUGAAAACAAACAAUGGGUUUGGGUGGGGUUCGAGCAAAAGCUCCUGCCAAACGAGGAAGUUCUGAGAGUGCCGUGAGCCCAGCAGACGGUUCCUGUAUUUUCACAGCCAAUGAAAACCAGCUGCUGCAGCAAAGGCUGCUGUGUCCCCCGCCCCCCGCCCCCCAGCUAUCUUUAGCCCUGUUCUCUGCCACGCUGGCAGAAGCUCCCCUGCGAAAUGGCAGGCAACAGGCUGCAUGUGCUCAGGGUGGAAUGCAGCAGCUGAAGGGCUUCCAGGGCCAGCGAGCUUCCUUAGAAGGCAUGAGAACAGGGAUGGAAUGGCUAGGGGAUAAGGGCAGGGGACACGUGUCUGUCCUUGGGAUCUCCAGGGACAAGCAAAUGUGUGAGAACCUGCCUGUGAACAUGCUCACAGGAAGGAGAGAUUAUCCUGAAACUCCAGGAAAGGCAAGAAUUCAAGCUGAUAAUUAUAAUGCACUCUGGUCACUGGGGAAAGACUGUCCUGUGUGGUUCAUUUGUGGCAGGGACCCUGAGCCUCUCACAUAAACUCCCUGCAGACACUCCUUCACAAAUCAAAGCUUUUGGCCCGUUGGUUACAGCCCGAUGCUAAACAGACCCAGUCCUGGAUGCAGGCUCUCCCAGGGCAGCCUCCCAGAGAAAAGCAGUUCCCUGAAUAUUGUCUAAAACUGAACAGAAUAGAUUAGAAUGUAAUUAGAAUACAAUUUAAUUUGGGACCUUGAUCCUGAAUAAUAUAAAGAAUGCAUUAGUUGCUGCUUCUGGAAAGGCCAGAUAUUUCGUUUUUUACCCUGCAGUUGGGUCUCGCCACGAGCAGCAUCAGCUCCCUCGAUGAAGGGGAAGCCGGCAGACUGGUGAGCCUCUGGAUGAAGACCAGGCACGCUGUCGCCAAGGUCCUCUUUUCAUUCCAGAAAAACAAAGAUAGAGACAUUUUUGAGGUCUUCCUGCACAGCCCUAAGCUCAUGCACAGCCAUUACGCCCUCCAAACACUGUCAUGGGUCACAAGCAUUCGCUCUGGCCCAGGGAUUAACCAAGACCACCAGGAAGUGAAGAAGGUGGGACUGGGUGUGACCUGGGGUGCGGGGGUUCAGCGAGGUCGGUUGAGAGCCUCCCCAAGAACCGGCUUUCCUGGCUCACAGACAGGGAGCCACAGUCAAUUCUCAAUGUCAUUAAGUCCCAUUAGUUCAAGUGCCUGCUUUUGACAAACUAUACAGCUUUGUUUCUGUGGUUUUGCUCUUUCUUUAUAAAUUAUCGAGAGUGUCUUGGGAAGAAUGAAGCACGUGCCCUGGAGGAGCCAUGUGUGGGGUGUUAAGUGACACAAGAGUGUGCGCCCUGGGUGCAUAAUCAGAACCCCGCGGGUGCAGCAGGGGCUGCAGUGAGCCCUGCCUCCUCUCCAGAGCCCCUCUGACCUGGGGGGAAGGCUGUCCAUCCUGCUGGUGAUUGGUUUGGGAAAGACCAUCUGAUCUAAUUCCAACCAUCAGAAUGCCACGUCGCUGCUUCAAGCUUCCAGUGGCUUCCUAUCAUGGUGGAGUAGGAUCCAGCUCCUUCCAUGACUGGAAGACUUACGGAAUCUGGCUGGGCCAUUCCUCACCACCAGCUCCCUCUUGCCUUUUGAAUUUUAGUUUAUAAAUCAACUCAAAAAUUCUUGCCUUCACCCCCAAAGCUCAUCAGACUCUGCUGCAGGGUGUGUCCUUGUUUACUGAGGGCUCUGUAGCUCGCCAUCCAUGCCUUGCCACGGGGACUCAGGGGAGCAGGGGAUGUGGCUCUUGCCGCUGCGCCCAGGGUCUUGUCUGCUACCUGGCUUGUGUUAGGCGUUUGCUGGGUGAGGGAUUGAAUGGGCUAGUGUGCACCAGCCCGAGCUCCAGCUUGUGAGUGGCUGUAACUGUCCCGAAUUAACAGACGGGAGAAUUUUCCUCACAGGGACGUUGAAUGACUGGCAGCAGCAACUGGAGCCUCAAAACUGGUUUCAGCUCUAAAACUGAAGAGCAACAGAGAGCUAGUCACCCAGAGCCACCACCAAGAUUCAGGUACACACACGUCCCAGCCUCCGUCACUCCUGCAGGAGUCCCUGGACUACUGGACUCUGGGCGGAUCCUUUACCAAAGGAAUUCCCCAACUCCAUCCGUGGAGUCCUGUGCUACAACAUCCUCUGGGAAGAGCUCAGAACAUCUGCUCAGUCAUCUGCUCAGUAGAGAAAUCAGAAGUGGACGUUGAAGUCUUCCUGGCCACCCUCCUCGGGACAACCUCUCACGUCACUUGGUUUUCUCUCCACUUCCAGCUCUAUGGGCUCAGGUCCAAACUGCCUGGUCGUCAGUGCUGUGUAUGGCUUCUCCUCAGCCCACCUGGGUCACCUGGACUUCUGGUGGAUGGCUCCAGGUCUCUACCCCAGUGACCCACCUUGCUCUGCUCCAGGGUCCAUCCCUCCCACAGUGUGUACAGGGGACCCCAGAAAUGAGGAACUUAAUACAUGUAAACCCCCAACCAAGGAGAGACAAGAGUCACUAGAUAAGCAUCAGUUUCUAGUUCCUCAUGGCACUGUCCCCGGCUCCCCUGUGGUUCCCCAGAGUGACCGAGCUCUGGGUGCUGACAGUGGUCACUUGCUCUAAAUUAACACACUUGUGUUGACCUUCUCACUUCUCUGCCUUGCUUCUCCAUGGUCUCCUUGUGUGUCCCUCACACCUUCCCAAAGAACUACCUGCAACCCAAACAGGACCAGGGGCCGCUUGUGGGAGACCCACACUCAGAGUGGGUUACAAGUGACCAUUGGGCCUCCUGACCCAGAGGUAGCCGCCCUCAUCUGCAUCCUCAGGAGCAGGUCUCCUUGCCGGGGCACACAGGCUUCGCUGGCUUACUGUUUCUGUUUUCAUUACCUCCUGGAAAAGUCGUGCAGACGUGGGAACCGAUAUUUCUCUUGAAAGCGGAUGUGCACUGCGGGUCCCCCUGCAGGUGCCCGAGUACAUUACACUAGUGACUUUGCAAGAGCAACAUGGAGGUUUCCAGACACGCCUGACUGGGCAGGAAAACACGUCCCGGUCUCCAGGCUGCGAGUUACCUGGAGAGCAUCUUCUGUGUACACUAUUCCCUACCACCCACCACAUACAUGUCCUUCAGACCACAGAACUUGAAACACUCCUUCUCUGGUGUUUUGCUCUUCAACAACCUUGUGUCCACCAUGUGAGUCGCUGAACCAGGACACCAUGAGGAGGGGUCCCUGAAGCCACGGGCUCCACAUGGGCCUCUGAAGGCGGGUCCACACUGGCCUGUGACUCCAAGCACACAGGGAAGCCCUGGGAGUCCAGUGGGCCUCAGAGCAACUCGCCACCUCACAUUCAGCCCAAGGGAGGGUGGGAGGCCAGCAGCUUCAAGCCUCGUACCGCAAAUAAACUGAGAAGAGCAGACCAGAGGGCCGCACCUGGCCUGGGCCCAGCAGCCCAGCACCACCGCCAGCUCUCCACUUCCCCAGAAGCCGCACCCAGCGAGGUGGGACCCUGAGAGCCUGGCUCCCGGGGAGCAGCAGGGUCCAGCUGGAACUCCAACACGGGAAAGUUGGCAGGAAAAUACGAACCAUCCCCUAAAUAUGAAUCACCACCGGGAAGGAAAUUUAAGAUGGAUCUCAAGAGUUCAUGAUAUAGGCUUCCUACAAAGCCUGGCCCUGGCUCACAAGGGCCGUGAUUUCUUUUCAAUUAUAUAGAAAGUUGUAAAGAAGAAUGAAAAGCAGAAAGCAGCUGGGCGGCAGGAUGUAGACGGGAGGACUAGGAGGGCCAGUGGCAGAGGCCUUGUGACGGCCUGGACGGGGGCCAGGACUCUCAGCUUCUCCAAGGUCCAAGCCAGAGCUCCUCAGGAUAAUAAGAAAGGGACAGGAACGCUUACAAUGAAGGGACAGGGCCAGAGAGACACUCGCCGUCCCCAAGACAGGAACAGAAGCUCUUGGGAAGGGGCUGAGGAGGGUGUGCUUUCUCCCAGGAGGCUGGUUCAGAUCCAGGCUCCAGAGGGACGUCUGAAACCUCUAGAGACCCAUGCUGAGGGUCCCUCGGGAACCAGCAUGCCCUGGAAGCUCGGGGAGAGCUGCUGGCUCACGGCACACCCACCAGGUCAGGAACUGGACCACCUGACCCUGUUUCAUCAUCUGUAAAACUGGGCUAAUGACUGCCAGUCAGCCGCAGCUCGUGAGAAACGUGUGCAGUGCCUGGUGCAGAGACUCCAGUGCUGCUGGGCAAAGAGGACGUGUGUUCGCAGAGGCCGCCGGCUGCCGGAACGCCCAGCACCUCAACGCCACAGACCAACACAAAUGUAAAACCCACAGUAGGUGUUCCUUAUUGGCCAGCGCCUUCUCCAUGGCAGGCCAAGGCUGCCCCAGAGAGUGCUGGGUGGAUGUUAGGGUCAGGGACAGGCCAGAGGUCAAGGAAGGACAUGGAGUCCUCCACAUGGUCUGGCAGAGGAUGGGACUUGGAGAGAGAGCAGCAAGCUGUCAGGAGUGCGGACUGCAGGGCUCAGAUCACACCCCACUGAGCCCUAGGCUGGACAGCUGGCCUGACAAAGGGUUGGGCUCCAUUUGCUUUGUGGGAAUAAAACUGCACGGGAAAAGCACGUCAACCGGUGUGUGUGUGGGACCGAAGCGCAGCCAGGGCCCCCGCUCACCACCCGUCCUCUGUGGUCACUCAUUCUGGUCUCCCCGGAACUUCUGCAACAGCUUGUGGUGCCCCUGCUUCUGCCCGGGACCUUGGCACCUUGUCCACACCCAGCAGCCGGGGCGUCCUUAGCACUCACAGCCCCAUGGGACGGAGCCCGGAGCAGCUCCCUGUCGGCUGAGCAGGCCAGUCUGCUGGCACCCCACCACCCCUGGCCCCAGCCUGUCUCCCCGCUGAGGCACCUCGCUGCCGGGUCCCUCUGCCCAGAGCUGCCAGGCCUCCUUCCUCUGCUCGGUCAAAGCCACCUUCUCAACGAGGCCUGUGUGAUUCCCUGCUGAGGUCUGGUGGCACAGUGGUGACUGUCCCCACUCAGUGCUGCCAACCCGUUCCCUGUCACUUCCUGUCCCCACAACCCUCGUCAUCUUCCAUAAAGCCUGCCCUUUGCUCAUGGGUCCUGUUCACUGGGUCUCGUCUUCCUCCUGCUGGGGCUGGGGUCCAGGUCUGGUGUCCUGACCGACUCAUCCCACAGCCCAGAGCAGCACACAGCCGGCGCUCAGCCAUCUGUGCACCGUUGGACUUUUGGACAAAAUGGAAUCACGUGGCUAUGGAGUCUUCACACAGAGUUUGGAAUCUGGAGCAGCUGAACCCACACCUGCCUUCAACUCCAUUAGAACUCGCCCUGGGGUACAAGGCAGGUUGGGUGAUGGGCUAGAUACACCUCUGGAAGGGGAGACAUGGCAGCUGGCUGCAGGCAGGAGCAUGCUCUGGGGCCAGAGGGCUUCUUGGGGCCUCAGUUCUCCCUCUGCAGACUGAGGCUCUGCCGUCUGAGCAUCCCUGGCUGGUCCAGAGCAUCUGGUCCUGGUUGGGAGAGCAUCCCCACCUUGGGCCCACCAGUGCCGAGGGUAUAAGCAGAAGGGGAGACCGAGGGCCAGGGAAGGCUGGGUGACCGUCCUUCUCGGCUGCCUGCCCAGCCCCACAGGGGCCUCUGCAUUCUGCCUGGCUCCCCCUGUUGCCCAGUCCCAUGAGAACUCCACAUGUGCACGCUUGCUAACCUUGCAACUGACGCUGCAGAACCCAGGGACGAGUGACCGAAUGGCCCAGUGCAGCUUGCAGCACAGAUGGUGAACCAACCUACACGGGUGAUCCCAGGCUCUGCCACAAUGUCCCAUGGCAAACCCAGCAACAGGGACCGGUGGCCUCUGCAUCCCACCCCUGCUGCCAAGCCAGCACCCGCCCUGCCUCAAACCCCAGGAUCUUCAAACCUGGCCAUU